UGGGGCGUCGUCUAAGGGCAGGACAUGGGACUUUGAAUCCCAUUAUGAUGGUUCGAAUCCAUCCGCCCCAACCA
RNAcentral lists this transfer RNA (74 nucleotides) under Deltaproteobacteria bacterium. RNAcentral describes it as "tRNA-Gln". It matches the Rfam family "tRNA". Rfam says of the family: Transfer RNA (tRNA) molecules are approximately 80 nucleotides in length. Lineage: Bacteria; Pseudomonadati; Myxococcota; Myxococcia. The record is from RNAcentral. RNAcentral also lists the same sequence under 2 other names.